Long non-coding RNA from Salvia splendens (bonfire salvia), 508 nucleotides. RefSeq lists it as uncharacterized. NCBI's taxonomy places the organism in Eukaryota, Viridiplantae, Streptophyta, Magnoliopsida, Lamiales, Lamiaceae. The transcript has 3 exons. The record is from RefSeq and is a predicted model, not a curated record.
UUCAGUUCGCAUUGCGGAUUUGGGGCCCGCAUUCUCAGCGAAGCUCUGAGGGUUGCAGAUCUUCGCGACAAAGCACAAGUGCUUAAGGGGUAUAAAAUACUAGAAAAGAUUCCUGAAUCAAAAUUCCAUGCCUCUGAAGCUGCUUCCAACCAUAUUGCUUUGUCUGUGACAUCCAUAUGGAACUCUGCUGCUUUGAAUUUAAAAUCACUCUGUAAAGGAACGGCACUAGUCUUUUCGUCAAGGCCAAGAAUAUCCCCUCACUGCCCUGUGCCAUCACCAUCCUCCCAAUAUGCUUUUUUUGCCCCUUUGGCGGAAUGGGUGUGAUAGACAUUACACAUGCAAUGUAUGUAUACAUGUUUUUUUUGUAUAUGUCUCUGUCACUGUGUGUUUGUGUGUGAUCUUAAAAAUUACUAGUGCUAUAUAAAAAAUUAGAUAGAUGUAGUAUGAUUGUAGAGAAUGUCAGUGUGUUACCGCUCUAUUUAAUUUGAAAAGCUGAUUUAUUGUCUUA